GAUCCUGGCUCAGGAUGAACGCUAGCUACAGGCUUAACACAUGCAAGUCGAGGGGCAGCAUGGACUCAGCUUCGCUGAGUUUGAUGGCGACCGGCGCACGGGUGAGUAACGCGUAUCCAACCUGCCCUUUACUCCGGGAUAGUCUCCUGAAAGGGAGUUUAAUACCGGAUGUGUUUGUCUUUCCGCAUGGGAGCGACAAAUAAAGAUUGAUUGGUAAAGGAUGGGGAUGCGUCCCAUUGG
This 240-nucleotide ribosomal RNA is filed under the name uncultured bacterium. RNAcentral's name for it is "partial 16S ribosomal RNA". It matches the Rfam family "Bacterial small subunit ribosomal RNA", at positions 15 to 244 of the family's 1533-position model. The record is from RNAcentral.